RNAcentral lists this ribosomal RNA (372 nucleotides) under uncultured organism. RNAcentral's name for it is "bacterial SSU rRNA". It matches the Rfam family "Bacterial small subunit ribosomal RNA", at positions 526 to 896 of the family's 1533-position model. The record is from RNAcentral.
CAGAGGUCCCAAGCGUUGUUCGGAUUCACUGGGCGUAAAGGGUGCGUAGGCGGUUGGGUAAGUCUGUCGUGAAAUCUCCGAGCCUAACUCGGAAACUGCGUCGGAUACUAUUCAACUCGAGGAAUGGAGGGGAGACUGGAAUUCUCGGUGUAGCAGUGAAAUGCGUAGAUAUCGAGAGGAACACCAGUGGCGAAGGCGAGUCUCUGGACAUUUCCUGACGCUGAGGCACGAAAGCCAGGGGAGCAAACGGGAUUAGAUACCCCGGUAGUCCUGGCCCUAAACGGUGCAUGUUUGCUGUAAGAGGAAUCGACCCCUUUUGUGGCGAAGCUAACGCGUUAAACAUGCCGCCUGGGAAGUACGGCCGCAAGGUUA